GAUGAACGCUGACAGAAUGCUUAACACAUGCAAGUCAUUGGCGAAGCUGCGCUUGCGCAGUCUAGCCAAGGCGGACGGGUGAGUAACGCGUAAGGAACUUGCCCUGCAGACAGGGAUAACAGACGGAAACGACUGAUAACACCUGGUAUUGUCAGGCUGGCGCAUGCCGGCCUGAUGAAAGGAGACGCUGCAGGAAAGCCGUGCGUCCUAUUAGCUAGUUGGUGGGGUAACGGCCCACCAAGGCGAUGAUAGGUAGCCGGCCUGAGAGGGUGAACGGCCACAAGGAGACUGAGAUACGGCCCUUACUCCUACGGGAGGCAGCAGUGGGGAAUAUUGGACAAUGGGGGCAACCCUGAUACAGCAAUUCUGUGUGGACGAAGAAGGUUUUCGGAUUGUAAAGUGCUUUCAGCAGGGAAGAAGAAAGUGACGGUACCUGCAGAAGAAGCGACGGCUAAAUACGUG
This 462-nucleotide ribosomal RNA is filed under the name uncultured bacterium. Its description in RNAcentral is "partial 16S ribosomal RNA". It matches the Rfam family "Bacterial small subunit ribosomal RNA", at positions 28 to 507 of the family's 1533-position model. The record is from RNAcentral.